UCCUAUUCUUGUCACCCCCUCACAUGCUAGGGCAGGUACUUCUUACAACACCUGCACAUGGUCAUAGAAGGCAAAGCUCAUUAUAGUGAAUUACAAAGGAUUGGCUGAGUGAACUCAUGAAAGGGACUCUCUGACACUGAAUAAUGUAUUUGUUUCAACCAAGACUUAAAUUUUUCUACAUUCAGAGAUUUUUUUCUCUAACUUUUUCCAAGUAGUUUUCAGUUCUAAAUAUCUAUGAAUUUAAAAGUGCUUUUUCUGACAUUUCUAGCACACAGUGUUUACUGAUAAUGCUGAGGGAGCAUUUCUUCUGACAAAAUUUCUAAUUUUUGUACCUCUGGGACAAAGCCAAGCCAAAGAAAAAAUGCUUUAGCUGCAUACUACUCCCUGAGGUUCCUGGGAGUGAAAAGGAAUAGGUGGAAAAGUGCUUCAAAUAGUAUAUUGCUUUUAGCUGUGAUGCUUUCAAAAUGAGCAAUUAUGGAAACACUGAUAAAGACACAUCACUGCUAAUUUACAUACACAUUUAAUUACAUGAAUCACUAAAGUUCCUACAGCUUAUCUGUUCCAAUAAUUGAUAAGUCCAAUGUAACACUUUAAAGAUUAAUUUAUACUGUCUUUUAUUAAGAUACUUAUAAUGAGCACCUACUCUGUCUCAGGGGUUUUAUAGCCUAAUAGUAAAUAUUUGUUAUAACUCUUCAAGAAAGACAUAUCACCUCCAUUUCCCAAUGAAGAAAAUAAAAGACGCAAAGGUGAAGUUACUUGUCCACAACUAUGUAGUUAGGGGCACAACCAGGUUUUAAACCCAGGCUCCUGAAGCUAUAGUUUCCUGUGUAUUCUGCAACACAUCUUUAAAUCCAAGAUUUAAAAUAAAGACACAUAAUCUUUCAUAUUAAAAUAUAUUAAACAUUUAUUCAUUUGCUAAAAAAGAUAUUGCUACUUUAGCAUUUGGAGUGGAUAAGCAAUGAGAUCCUGCUGUAUAGCACAGGGAACUACAUCUAUCUAAUCAUUGUGUUGGAACAUGAUGGAGGAUAAUGUGAGAAAAAGAAUGUAUAUAUGUGCAUAACUGGGUCACUUUGCCGUACAGAAGAAAUUGACAGAACAUUGUAAAUCAACUAUAAUAAAAAAUUUUUAAGUAAAAAAUAAAUUAAAAAAAUGUUGCUGUUAAGGAGAAAUUUUGCACUAAGUGAAACAUCUAUGCUUUCGGCGUAAUGUAACUUUGACUUAUUAGUCCUACAUGCACACCCACAUACACGUGCACAUACUGUUUUUUUUUUUGCCUCUUUUUUUUUUAUUUUCCCUUGCCAUACUGUUUUUUUUUAUUAUUUAGAGAAUUUAUUCCACUGAUAUUUAUUGAUAAUCCAGUCCUUAUCUCUUAUUUUGACAACAUGGCAUAAUAGUAUUAUACUUUGUGCCAGCCAUGUUUUAGAUGUUUGAGAUACAGAAAAAAGUCCCUGUUCACAUGAAGCUUAACUCUAAAGGCAAGAAAUAGGCAUAACCCAAGUGAAUAAAUAAACAAGAACAUUUCUUUUCUUUUCUUGUCAAGAAACAAGGAAUUUCUUUUAAUGAAGUAAAACAGGGUGGUAUAAUUCAGAGGGACUGGAUUUUGUGGGAAGAAUGAAAUUUGCAGUGAACACCUGAAUUAUUAGAAAGAAAUGUGCACCAAGAUCCUGAGGCAGGACUCUCAGAGCAAGAAGAGCAAAUGCCAGGGCCCUAAGGGAGACCUUAGUGAAAUUCGGAAACGGGAAGAAGGGAAGUGCAGUUCUGAGCACGGUAGUUGAGAAGGAGUGUGGUAGAAGAGGAGAGUGGAGAAGUCAUAAAGAAUUGGGGUUUUAUUUAUAGUGUCAUAGAAAGCAUUUGAGGAUAGUAAUAUAAUCUGGCUUAUAUUUUUAAAAGAGUGCUCUGGCUGCUGUGUGGAGAAUGAAUUAUAGAUGAAACAAGAGGAGAAGCAAAGAAAACAGCAAAAAGGAUUAUUAUCGUAGAAUAGGUAAAGAUGACCCUGACCUAAUUAGGAUGAUGGCAAAAAAGGUGGUGAGAAGAUGACAGAUACACUGGUGUCUCAUGUCUACUCUAAUUACCUUCCACGCAUUUCCAUAUUGAUAUUGGUGUGAACAAUGUCAUAUGCCAAUGUAAAGGAUCUAGAAAGAAGAAGGAAACAAGAUAACAAAACUGUCACCUCAUUUUGUACUCCCCAAAUCCUCCACACACAUUCAAAAUGAAUGAAUAUAUAGGUUUGCUUUUAAGAUGUGAAAAUGUUUCAUAAAAAGCAUCAUUAAAAAAAAACAAACCCAUGCAUUGAGCCUAUUGUAGUCAUCUAAAGCAAUUUUCUCAGACUUUAGGAGGGAAGCAGAUUGAUGUACUUUUGGGAUUUUUCAACCAGUGUCUUUUCAGUAAAGCCUGCAUCUAUUGAUGUUUUUGUUUUUCACUUACCAUUUUAAAUUUAUACCACUUAAAUAUCAUCACUGGCAUGGCAGUAAAAGGUAAAAUAUAAAAAUAAACAGCUCUAUAAUUUGGACUUUAAAUGGCUUUACGUAUUUAUAUUCUAUGUGGGAUAUGUAACAGAUUGUGAUAACAGAACCAGGUAUAAUCAAAUUGCAGCCUUACAAAUAUAGCAAAUAUCAUGAAACAGCUCCCUUAUGCUGACUCAAAGAGUGGGAGUUCCACUUCUUUCAUUAUAUUUUUUCUGUAACAGCUUAUCACUAGCAACACCUUUAUAGCAAUUCUCCUGCUUUGACAGUGUGAAUGUCCCCACAAUAGCACUUUACCUAUAUUUGCCAUUGAUUCUCUCAUUGGAUUUUCUUCUCUGGAGACAACUAAUUUGAGUAGCUUGAAAUAUAAAACUUAUGGCUUCCACCUUUAGUUUCCCAGUUCACAUAGCAACAUAGUGAAGUCAUUUUCAAAUGCAGAAAACCCAAGGCCCUCAGAUAGGCUUUGUUCAUCCUCCAUGGUGCUACUCUGUUUUAUUUCUCUAAAACCUGUAGCCUUUCACAUGUGCUGUUAGAGGGAGAAAUUCUGCUGUUUAUAUAUAGCAUCACUAAAUUAAAUUCUGCUAGUUACUGUAUCUGAAUGCAAAUGAGGACACCAGACCAGACUGAGAGUGACAGCCGUUUAGUGCACUCACCUGUCCACUUGGAUGGGGGCUUAAAGGUGCUGUCAAAUAUUUGUAAACAUGGCUUUUGCAUAUUUCUUUCACAAAGGAGAGUUGUUUUUCUGUUUUGUUGUGCUUGGGGUUGUUUUAAGCUUGUUUAGCUCUUCCUCCUCUUUAACCCUAAACUGCAACUCCGUUUCCCUCUACAACUCGCAGAAGUGAUCCCUGACUGGAUUCAUGAAGUGGGAACAGUGUUGGACCAGUAGGGGGAGCUCAUAUCAUGCCUAUUUUGUGGGUUGUAGACAAGUUACUUUGUAGGUUUGUGUAGUUAGGAUGGAACUAUUUUAAUUCUAAAGCCAAUGAAGAUUUGGGGUUGGAAUAAAAGUUAUUUUCUCCUGUUGAAAAGUUAAAAUUUGCUAACGUUGAAAAUCUCAACUACAGUGAGAGUUUAGGUGGCUUUAAUCCAUCUGCAUGUUGUGGUUGAAUUUUUCAGAUAGCUGAAACGUGGAGGCUUUAAAACAUUACAAGCUUUCUUUCCUGGUCUGUAUUAUCAAAUUACUUUCUUCCAUAAAUGACAGACACAGCACCUGAUUUUAAGGGGUUUUGUUUAUUUGUUUAUGGCUGUCGGUCAAUAUAAAAUAAACAUGGCCGGUGCAGAUGGGCGUGACUGGAAAAAGGGUUGAUGUUAAGUGUCGUCUGAUGGACCCUAGGACCAUGUUCCCAUCGUGGCUCAGUGGUUAACGAAUCCGACUAGGAACCAUGAGGUUGUGGGUUCGAUUCCUGGCCUUGCUCAGUGGGUUAAGGAUCUGGCGUUGCCAUGAGCUGUGGUGUAGGUUGCA
This 3921-nucleotide long non-coding RNA is filed under the name Sus scrofa (pig). RNAcentral describes it as "lncRNA (ENSSSCG00055017887.1)". The record is from RNAcentral. Lineage: Eukaryota; Metazoa; Chordata; Mammalia; Artiodactyla; Suidae.